GAUGAACGCUGGCGGCGUGCCUAAUACAUGCAAGUCGAGCGAACAGACGAGGAGCUUGCUCCUCUGACGUUAGCGGCGGACGGGUGAGUAACACGUGGAUAACCUACCUAUAAGACUGGGAUAACUUCGGGAAACCGGAGCUAAUACCGGAUAAUAUAUUGAACCGCAUGGUUCAAUGGUGAAAGACGGUUUUGCUGUCACUUAUAGAUGGAUCCGCGCCGCAUUAGCUAGUUGGUAAGGUAACGGCUUACCAAGGCAACGAUGCGUAGCCGACCUGAGAGGGUGAUCGGCCACACUGGAACUGAGACACGGUCCAGACUCCUACGGGAGGCAGCAGUAGGGAAUCUUCCGCAAUGGGCGAAAGCCUGACGGAGCAACGCCGCGUGAGGGAGGAAGGUCUUCGGAUCGUAAAACUCUGUUAUUAGGGAAGAACAAAUGUGUAAGUAACUAGGCACGUCUUGACGGUACCUAAGCAGAAAGCCACGGCUAACUAAGUG
Molecule: ribosomal RNA, 497 nt
Filed under: uncultured bacterium
Lineage: Bacteria
Description: partial 16S ribosomal RNA
Rfam family: Bacterial small subunit ribosomal RNA
Source: RNAcentral